This 111-nucleotide ribosomal RNA is filed under the name Bacillus mojavensis. Lineage: Bacteria; Bacillati; Bacillota; Bacilli; Caryophanales; Bacillaceae. RNAcentral also lists the same sequence under 3 other names. The record is from RNAcentral.
UGGCGAUAGCGAAGAGGUCACACCCGUUCCCAUGCCGAACACGGAAGUUAAGCUCUUCAGCGCCGAUGGUAGUCGGGGGUUUCCCCCUGUGAGAGUAGGACGCCGCCAAGC